This 432-nucleotide ribosomal RNA is filed under the name uncultured bacterium. RNAcentral describes it as "partial 16S ribosomal RNA". It matches the Rfam family "Bacterial small subunit ribosomal RNA", at positions 28 to 506 of the family's 1533-position model. The record is from RNAcentral.
GACGAACGCUGGCGGCAGGCCUAACACAUGCAAGUCGAGCGGACCUUUCGGGGUCAGCGGCGGACGGGUGAGUAACGCGUGGGAAUAUGCCCUUCUCUACGGAAUAGUCCUGGGAAACUGGGGGUAAUACCGUAUACGCCCUUUGGGGGAAAGAUUUAUCGGGGAAGGAUUAGCCCGCGUUGGAUUAGGUAGUUGGUGGGGUAAUGGCCUACCAAGCCGACGAUCCAUAGCUGGUUUGAGAGGAUGAUCAGCCACACUGGGACUGAGACACGGCCCAGACUCCUACGGGAGGCAGCAGUGGGGAAUCUUAGACAAUGGGGGCAACCCUGAUCUAGCCAUGCCGCGUGAGUGAUGAAGGCCUUAGGGUUGUAAAGCUCUUUCAGCGGGGAAGAUAAGGACGGUACCAGCAGAAGAAGCCCCGGCUAACUCCGU